GUGUUGUAUAAAAGGAGAUAGGGUUAGCGCUCCCCUUGACAAGGAUGGAAGAGGCUCUCGGGCCUGACAACAUGCAUACGGUUAAGGCAUUGCCACCUACUUCCUGGCAUCUAACCACUGUUUUUC
Molecule: small nuclear RNA, 126 nt
Organism: Bos taurus (domestic cattle)
Lineage: Eukaryota; Metazoa; Chordata; Mammalia; Artiodactyla; Bovidae
Source: Ensembl